CCAACGGCCCUCUUUAGGGCCACAAUUCUGUAAACUGAUGUUACCU
Enterobius vermicularis (human pinworm) is the source of this 46-nucleotide non-coding RNA. The record is from Rfam. NCBI's taxonomy places the organism in Eukaryota, Metazoa, Nematoda, Chromadorea, Rhabditida, Oxyuridae.